GGGGGGGGGACAUUGCAUCUGGAGGAAGACCAUGGUUCUACCUGCCAACGAGCAUUACUGCUGCUGAAAUGCUGUGGCAGACACACCUGAGCUGUAUCCUUAGACGGCAAAGUCCUUCAGAGUGACAAAUAAAGAGCGCCUCAUCGCAGCUGAAGUCAUCGCUUUACUGGGGAUUCAUCGCUGGACUGUGGAUCAUCUCCUACAUCCACAGAACUUUACUUUGUCAUCAUCUGUCACAUAAGGAUUCCUCCUAAUGUGUUCCAUUAAGGUUCUUUUUCCUUCAAGGUGUUUGGGUUCAGUGUUAGGGACAGAGUUAGGGCGAGUUGGUUGAGGAAUGGGCUGGUUUCAUGAUUUAAUGCUGUAUUUUUGUAUUGGGUUGGACAUUGGACUAAAAAAUCCAAGAUGUUGUGCAAACGCUUUUUACAAUAUGUACUAAUGGUGUUUCUAUAAU
This is a long non-coding RNA of Gadus morhua (Atlantic cod), 451 nucleotides long. RefSeq lists it as uncharacterized. The record is from RefSeq and is a predicted model, not a curated record. Lineage: Eukaryota; Metazoa; Chordata; Actinopteri; Gadiformes; Gadidae. The transcript has 3 exons.